This 253-nucleotide ribosomal RNA is filed under the name uncultured bacterium. RNAcentral describes it as "partial 16S ribosomal RNA". It matches the Rfam family "Bacterial small subunit ribosomal RNA", at positions 524 to 776 of the family's 1533-position model. The record is from RNAcentral.
UACGAAGGGGGCUAGCGUUGUUCGGAAUCACUGGGCGUAAAGGGCGCGUAGGCGGCCGCUCAAGUCGGGGGUGAAAGCCUGUGGCUUAACCACAGAAUUGCCUUCGAUACUGUUUGGCUUGAGACCGGAAGAGGUGAGUGGAACUGCGAGUGUAGAGGUGAAAUUCGUAGAUAUUCGCAAGAACACCAGUGGCGAAGGCGGCUCACUGGCCCGGUACUGACGCUGAGGCACGAAAGCGUGGGGAGCAAACAGG